AUCAUUAAUUAUGUUAAAGCGCCUUACCUUAGGGUUUCCUCUGGGGUAAGUGAUUGCUUCUACACUGUGAAAAUUUGGCUGAGAGACUCAGACUGGUCAUGGGUAGACCUAUCUGGGGUUUGAUCGAUGCCACUCCUGGUUUCAGGAGCACCCUUCAUAAUAAACCUAGAAAUUCAGUAUUAUAAAGUUUAAUAAAAAACAACUUUUAACAAUGGAUCUCUUGGUUCUCGCAUCGAUGAAGAACGUAGCAAAGUGCGAUAACUAGUGUGAAUUGCAUAUUCAGUGAAUCAUCGAGUCUUUGAACGCAGCUUGCACUCUAUGGUUUUUCUAUAGAGUACGCCUGCUUCAGUAUCAUCACAAACCCACACAUAACAUUUGUUUAUGUGGUAAUGGGUCGCAUCGCUGUUUUAUUACAGUGAGCACCUAAAAUGUGUGUGAUUUUCUGUCUGGCUUGCUAGGCAGGAAUAUUACGCUGGUCUCAGGAUCUUUUUCUUUGGUUCGCCCAGGAAGUAAAGUACAAGAGUAUAAUCCAGCAACUUUCAAACUAUGAUCUGAAGUCAGGUGGGAUUACCCGCUGAACUUAAGCAUAUCAAUAAGCGGAGGAAAAGAAAAUAACAAUGAUUUCCCUAGUAACGGCGAGUGAAGAGGAAA
Molecule: ribosomal RNA, 651 nt
Filed under: Rhizopus arrhizus
Lineage: Eukaryota; Fungi; Mucoromycota; Mucoromycetes; Mucorales; Rhizopodaceae
Description: eukaryotic LSU rRNA
Rfam family: 5.8S ribosomal RNA (bases 201-354)
Source: RNAcentral